This 253-nucleotide ribosomal RNA is filed under the name uncultured bacterium. RNAcentral's name for it is "partial 16S ribosomal RNA". It matches the Rfam family "Bacterial small subunit ribosomal RNA", at positions 524 to 776 of the family's 1533-position model. The record is from RNAcentral.
UACGUAGGGUGCGAGCGUUAAUCGGAAUUACUGGGCGUAAAGCGUGCGCAGGCGGCCGCGCAAGUCGAGUGUGAAAUCCCCGAGCUUAACUUGGGAAUUGCGCUCGAAACUACGUGGCUCGAGUGUGGCAGAGGAAGGUGGAAUUCCACGUGUAGCGGUGAAAUGCGUAGAGAUGUGGAGGAACACCGAUGGCGAAGGCAGCCUUCUGGGCCAACACUGACGCUCAUGCACGAAAGCGUGGGGAGCAAACAGG